This 274-nucleotide ribosomal RNA is filed under the name uncultured bacterium. Its description in RNAcentral is "partial 16S ribosomal RNA". It matches the Rfam family "Bacterial small subunit ribosomal RNA", at positions 523 to 796 of the family's 1533-position model. The record is from RNAcentral.
AUACGAAGGGUGCUAGCGUUGUUCGGAAUUACUGGGCGUAGAGAGCAUGUAGGCGGAUAGAUUAGUCAGAGGUGAAAGCCCCGAGCUCAACUCGGGAACUGCCUUUGAUACUGUUUAUCUAGAGACCGAGAGAGGUGAGUGGAAUUCUCAGUGUAGAGGUGAAAUUCGUAGAUAUUGGGAAGAACACCAGUGGCGAAGGCGGCUCACUGGCUCGGAACUGACGCUGAGAUGCGAAAGCGUGGGGAGCGAACAGGAUUAGAAAACCCAGUAGUCC